GCGUGAGAAUCUGCACUCAGGAUGGGGACAACAGCGGGAAACUGCUGCUAAUACCCAAUGUGCCGAAAGGUGAAAGAUUUAUCGCCUGAGAAUGAGCUCGCGGCCGAUUAGUUAGUUGGUGGGGUAAAGGCCUACCAAGACGGCGAUCGGUAGCUGGUCUGAGAGGAUGAGCAGCCACACUGGGACUGAGACACGGCCCAGACUCCUACGGGAGGCAGCAGUGGGGAAUUUUCCGCAAUGGGCGAAAGCCUGACGGAGCAAGACCGCGUGGGGGAGGAAGGCUCUUGGGUUGUAAACCCCUUUUCUCAAGGAAGAACAAAAUGACGGUACUUGAGGAAUCAGCCUCGGCUAACUCCGUGCCAGCAGCCGCGGUAAUACGGAGGAGGCAAGCGUUAUCCGGAAUUAUUGGGCGUAAAGCGUCCGCAGGUGGUGGGGCAAGUCGGCGGUUAAAGACUGGGGCUUAACUCCAGAAAGGCCGUGGAAACUGCACCACUAGAGGGCAGUAGGGGUAGAGGGAAUUCCCGGUGUAGCGGUGAAAUGCGUAGAGAUCGGGAAGAACACCAGUGGCGAAAGCGCUCUACUGGACUGCAACUGACACUCAGGGACGAAAGCUAGGGGAGCGAAUGGGA
This 629-nucleotide ribosomal RNA is filed under the name Planktothricoides sp. B4A. Its description in RNAcentral is "bacterial SSU rRNA". It matches the Rfam family "Bacterial small subunit ribosomal RNA", at positions 115 to 777 of the family's 1533-position model. Lineage: Bacteria; Bacillati; Cyanobacteriota; Cyanophyceae; Oscillatoriales; Oscillatoriaceae. The record is from RNAcentral.